Ceratitis capitata (Mediterranean fruit fly) is the source of this 517-nucleotide long non-coding RNA. RefSeq lists it as uncharacterized. The record is from RefSeq and is a predicted model, not a curated record. Lineage: Eukaryota; Metazoa; Arthropoda; Insecta; Diptera; Tephritidae. The transcript has 2 exons.
ACUGUUUAUGAUUAAAUAUUUCAAAUCAGUAUUAAUGUCAAAUAAAUCUCAAAGUAAUCGUGAAAUUGAUUAUCAACUAUAUUAAUUGCAUUCUAAUCUACCAAUAGACACAUAAUAAAGGGUGUUUUUUUAGACGUGUGAUUUUCAGUAACGCAAUACUUUUUCUUUUUUUUUUAGGCAGUUUGGCUUGCCUUUUCAUAUUGAACAGACUUACUCCGGAACCGCCCAGACGAAUCGGGAAUUCGAGCCGCCAUGACGGUUACCUUAGAGGAUAAAGCGCAUACUCAGAAGCGUUCUACAGUGCGCCCUAUCAUCGAAUGGGCAAUGGUUCCCACAAGACGACGUUGAAUGCCAUACAGCCCGUCAAUUUAUUGAAGGAAUUGCUGCUAAAAGUGAUCGAAAAUUGGUUCUCCAAGGUGGAAUUUCAUGGUGGUCUCUUGUGCGAAACUUUUUUUUUUUUAUAUAAUGACAAACCCUUAUCUCUAUAAUAAAGCUGAAUUCUCGGCCAUCACAUUAA